Molecule: ribosomal RNA, 465 nt
Filed under: uncultured bacterium
Lineage: Bacteria
Description: partial 16S ribosomal RNA
Rfam family: Bacterial small subunit ribosomal RNA
Source: RNAcentral
GACGAACGCUGGCGGCGCGCCUAACACAUGCAAGUCGAACGAGCGAGAGGAGGUUUACUUUCUCAAGCGAGUGGCGAACGGGUGAGUAACGCGCGAGGAACCUGCCUCAAAGAGGGGGACAACAGUUGGAAACGACUGCUAAUACCGCAUAAGCCCACGACCCGGCAUCGGGUAGAGGGAAAAGGAGCAAUCCGCUUUGAGAUGGCCUCGCGUCCGAUUAGCUAGUUGGUGAGGUAAUGGCCCACCAAGGCGACGAUCGGUAGCCGGACUGAGAGGUUGAACGGCCACAUUGGGACUGAGACACGGCCCAGACUCCUACGGGAGGCAGCAGUGGGGAAUAUUGCACAAUGGGGGAAACCCUGAUGCAGCGACGCCGCGUGGAGGAAGAAGGUCUUCGGAUUAUAAACUCCUGUUGUUGAGGAAGAUAAUGACGGUACUCAACAAGGAAGUGACGGCUAACUACGU